This is a long non-coding RNA of Paramormyrops kingsleyae, 1185 nucleotides long. RefSeq lists it as uncharacterized. The record is from RefSeq and is a predicted model, not a curated record. NCBI's taxonomy places the organism in Eukaryota, Metazoa, Chordata, Actinopteri, Osteoglossiformes, Mormyridae.
CAUAGCUUAGCCUUGAAUACGGACGAAUUAAGGGCGAAUCAGCUCCGUUGCCUUAUGAUCACUUAUGAUGUUCACAUAAUUAAGUUUUGAGGAUUUUUAAAAGGCGGUCCCAAAUCCACGUGCAGCCGCGGAAGAAAUAAAAGAUAAAUGUGACAAGAGAUACAAUUUUGUUUUGAUUUUGACAUACCAAAGGCCUGUCAAGAAUCGCCAUUAUGCGCCAAAUGUACCUGCUGUUUAUCUGACUGAGGCUGGUGUCCAGAGUGACUCAUAAGUUCUGAUAAACGUAGAGUAUUUAUGGGCUGUGAUAGUUAACACGUCGGUAGUUAGGAAAAUGUAUGGCUCGCGACUAACCGUGUCACUUUUAUCAUUCCGCCCUUAUGUACACCGAUUAAAGUUGAUAAUUUUAGGAACCAGUUAACUAUUCAUUACAUCUCUGCAAUAACGACUGUAAAAUGCAACUAGAGAUUUUUUUUCAGAAGCGGAUCCGUCGAUGGUCCUACACGAUUGAGCGCCGGACUGUUAACAGUGCAAAACCUGCCCUCAGUUUACGCGGUUAACUCGCUUGCACCACAGCUCUUUUACAGGCAGGAUUCCUGAGUCGAUCAUUGUGGAUUUCCUACCUCGGACCCAAUUAAGCCAAGAGAGCCACACUCCUCCCAAGCCCAGCCUUCCUGUCACAGCUACCCUCCAUAAGGACAAAGCCAACCUUCCAGUUUUCCCAGCUGAUGUCCUCAUGCCGAUUUUUCCCAAGGGUUUGGCAUGUCAAACACUCUACGUUGAAAAAUGGUAACAGCAAGCAAAUGAAGUCAACCUGAAUGAAAUAGGAAAACUUCAGAAUUUGAGAUCGGACCGCUUUGCGCGGAAAACCUUCUGAGACAAAGAUCACUGAUCAGAGGGCGCGUGUCACAGCACUGAGAAUCAGGACGACCAGUUCUCAGCUCCGACGGGGUUGCAUUGAAACACUGGGUUUAGAAAGCCGGAAUUCUGGGGUGGGCCCUACAGGAACGAUUCGGAGAGGGUUUGGGAGUGCUGUAGGAUGGAUUUUUCAGGAGAGCAAGGACGGAAAGGAGACGCGAAAACUGCAUCACUAACAGGACAGAAUCUACUUAAGUGUGAGUCAUUUUGGGCACAGAUUCAACCUGUACUACCUGAAUAAACAUGAAGUACCUACUUCGAUUUACUUUA